UGCUGUUAAGCAGCCAUCAAUGCUUCCAAUAGUCUGAGAGGGAGCGCUUUCGGGCGACUAUAAAAACUCUCGGAGCCUGAAAGGGAGAGCAAAUAUUGCGGUACAUCUGCCCACUUUUGGAAGCAGAUAUCGCCGGACACCUAAACCCUCG
This is a non-coding RNA of Xenorhabdus vietnamensis, 151 nucleotides long. The record is from Rfam. Lineage: Bacteria; Pseudomonadati; Pseudomonadota; Gammaproteobacteria; Enterobacterales; Morganellaceae.